CCUACGGGUGGCAGCAGUGAGGAAUAUUGGUCAAUGGUCGGGAGACUGAACCAGCCACGCCGCGUGAGGGAUGAAGGUACAGGGUAUCGUAAACCUCUUUUGUCGGGGAACAAAGGAGGGGACGCGUCCCCGGAUGAGUGUACCUGAAGAAAAAGCAUCGGCUAACUCCGUGCCAGCAGCCGCGGUAAUACGGAGGAUGCGAGGGUUAUCGGGAUGUAGUGGGGUUAAAGGGUGCGCAGGCGGUCUGUUAAGUCAGCGGUCAAAGCCCGGGGCUCAACCCCGGCCCGCCGUUGAAACUGGCAGUCUCGAGUUGGAGAGAGGUAUGCGGAAUGCGCGGUGUAGCGGUGAAAUGCAUAGAUAUCGCGCAGAACUCCGAUUGCGAAGGCAGCAUGCCGGCUCCACACUGACGCUGAGGCACGAAAGCGUGGGGAUCGAACAGGAUUAGAUACCCCGGUAGUC
RNAcentral lists this ribosomal RNA (459 nucleotides) under uncultured bacterium. RNAcentral describes it as "partial 16S ribosomal RNA". It matches the Rfam family "Bacterial small subunit ribosomal RNA", at positions 338 to 795 of the family's 1533-position model. The record is from RNAcentral.